This 5173-nucleotide long non-coding RNA is filed under the name Sus scrofa (pig). RNAcentral's name for it is "lncRNA (ENSSSCG00065079258.1)". Lineage: Eukaryota; Metazoa; Chordata; Mammalia; Artiodactyla; Suidae. The record is from RNAcentral.
UUACUUCUGUUUUAUACAAUGUCCAGGGUUUUAGCUAUGCUUUGUAGAAAGAAUAGGUAAAAGUACAUCUAUUCCAUAUUACUGGAGAUGGAAAUCCCCAAUAAUACUUUAUAGAUAGUACUUUAAAACAAUAUCGAGGUGGUGACCAACCAAAUUGAAUUUUAUAGGAUAGUAUUUGUUUUGGUCAUCUUUAUACCACUGAUAAAUAACCAGGGCAAUAACUGAAUAGUGAAAUGCAGACAUUUGCAACAAGGAUCUUUGAGUUUGAAUCUUUGAUCUGUAUCUUAAAAGAUGUAUGGCAUUCAUAAAAUUAUUUUACAUUUCUAGAACUAAUUUUUCACACUUACAAAAUAAAAAUAAUAACAGCUGCCUAAUUUGGUUGUUGUUCAGUGAAACAUAUAUUCAGUAUAACAAUAUAAAUGAACAGUGCCUGGUAAAAUGAAUGGCAUGUGUGUUCCUCUUUUAAGGCAUCCUUAUAGAAAAUGAUAAAUUACUCCUUCCCAAAGUAUUAAUUGGUACUUUGCUGCCCUGAAAUGGUGAUGAGAAACAAAGUUGCUUCCAAAGGUAUUUUCUUCUCCCCGAUGCAUCACAGGAUCGGGUUACAGAAAGCAUCUGAAUUGUUUAACAACCAGGGGUUGCCACAGAUGAGCACACUGUAAGAUCUGAAAACACAUUUGAAAGUAUCUUAUAUUUUGGCCCAUGACUCAUUCCUUGACAUUAAUUCCUCUCUAUAAGGGAUUAAUGUACUCAAGAAUCAAUAUGCUUUCAGACAGAUCCUACAUCAGUGAGUUUCUUUGCUGGUCAGUAUUUUCAUUAUUAACAACUUAUGUCAGCAAUAUUCCCUAUUCGUCUAGUGGUAUUUGAAUUUAUUCUCUCAUUUUAGUCCUGAUUGUUGAGCAUUACUCUAAAGGUCUUUUAUAACUUGAUUUACCAAGAAAGCAGAUUAGAAAUCUAUAUGAAGACUCAGAGGCCUGCAAAAAGGAGCAAUUAGGAAAAGUGUACUAUUCAGCUCUACUUUUGAAAUACAUAGGGUGAAUAUUUUAAGGUACUUUGUACUUCUUGAGGUUAGCAUUUAAGAAACUAUAUCCCACAAUAUCCCCAAGUUAUUCUGUCCCCAUCUGGUUUUUAGUCCUCUUUCAUCGCAAUAGACUUUUGAUAUCAUUUUUUUCACUUGGAUCCCAUGUUUCAACAAAUUUGAUCUUAUUAUAAUAUGUAUUUAUCUAAUCAGUAUCUAAAUAUAUUUGCACUAAUCCUGUUUUGAAUGUUUUGACAUUGUUCUUAUAUAAUACUUAAGAAUGUACAUUCUUGGGACUUCCCAUUGUGGCUUGGAGGGUUACAAAUCCGACCAGUAUCUGUGAGGUUGCAGGCUUGAUCCCUGGCCUUCCUCAGUGGGUUAAGGAUUCAGCGCUGCAGUGAGUUGUAGUGUAGGUUGCAGACAUGGCUUGGAUCUGGUGUUGCUGUGGCUGUGGGUAGGCUGGCAGCUGCAGCUCCGAUUCAACCCCUGGCCUGGGAACUUCCAUUUGCUGCAGGUGCAGCCCUAAAAAACAAACAAACAAACAAAAGAAUGUAUAUGCUAGCCCAGAUUAUGGAGGUAUGGGUUUCUAAAUGCCAUUACCCACUAAAAGAAAACGAUUCCUUGGAGAAGUUACUGAUUCUUUGGCUAGGACAGGGAAACUAUGAAAUGUGUCUAAAAAGUAUUUUUGUUCCAGAAGAAGGUUUAAAAGAGCUCAACAGAAGUUCCCAUCGUGGCUCAGUGGAAACAAAUCUGACUAGCAUCCAUGAGGACGCAGGUUUGAUCCCUGGCCUCGCUCAGUGGGUCAAAGAUCCAGUGUUGCCAUGAACUGUGGUGCAGGUUGCAGAUGCAGCUUGGAUCUGGCAUUGCUAUGGCUGUGGCAUAGACCGAGGGCUCGAGCUCUGAUUCGACCCUAGCGUGGGAACCUCCAUAUAGGCUCCAUAUAGGCUCCAUAAGGCUGCGGGUACAGCCUUAAAAAGACCAAAAAAAAAAAAAAAAAAGAACUCAAUAAAUUAGCAGCUUAUAUAAAAACAACAAACAAGUCAGCAUGAAAGUUUUACCACAGGCCAAAUCUAGAAUAACUAGAGCAUGAAAAUGAAUAAUGAAAAUAAUGAAUUAUAAUCUACUAAUUUUAAGGAAAUCCAUGAGUCUAUACUGAGAGUAUGGUACAUACACAUGCAUAAUGCAUGCAUGUGUGUGUGUGUGUGUGUGUGUGUGUGUGUGUGUGAAAUGAGGAAAUGAGGAAACUCUUUGUUAUAGUACACUACUAGCUAAUAAAUAUGAAAUAAAUGACAGGUGUUAUGGGCUAAACUGUUCCCCUCCCAAAUUCAUAUGUGUGUGUUUUGUUUUGUUUUGUUUUGUUUUUGGCUGUGCCCAUGGCAUGCAGAAGUUUCCAGGCCAGAGAUCAAACGUGAGCCAGAGAAGCAACCAGAGCCAUAGCAGUAACAUCAGAUCUUUGAAAUAUUAAGCUACCAGGGAAUUCCCAAAUUCAUAUGCUAUAUCCCAAAACCCCAAAAUCCCAGAAUGUCGUUGUAUUUUGAGAUAGGGCCUUUAAAGAAGUAGAGUUUCAUAGGGACCCUUAGGUUGGGCCUUAAUUGAAUAUGACUGGUAACCUUAUAAGAUGAGGAGAUUGGGACAUAGCUAAUGCAGACAGAGGAGCGAUUAUGUGAGGUAUGGUGAGAAGGUGGCCACCUGCAAGCCAAGGAUUGAGGUUUCAGGAAAAAACAAACCUGCCUCCAGGACUGUGAGAAAAUAGAUUUACCAUGUUUAAGCCACCAAGCCUAUGGAAUUUUGUUUUGGCAGUCCUAGGGAACAAAUACAAUAGAUAUUUUAAAAUUAUUAUUGUACAAUAAUAACUCAUUCAGACAAAAAUUAUCAGUGGACCCAGUGGAUUAAAGUUGAUGGUAAAUAAUAUAUCCACAUGGCAUCAUUGUAUGUCCUGCAUCUUACUUAUUGUUCCAAAGGAAAAAAACCACAACUUUACAGUAGAGAAAGCUGGCAGACACUUCAACCAAAUGAUCAAUGUCAACAUCAGCAAUAAUAAGACAAACUGAGUCCAGGUGCCUCCUGCUGUGAUUCACUGAGAAGACAUAGUAGUUAGGUGCUCAAUACUCUUAACAAAACCAUCUAACUUGAACUGAAUCACCAGGAAACAAUCAGAUAAACACAAAUGGGAACUACUAUCCUGUUUCUCUGAAAUGACAGUGUCAUAAGAGAAAUAGAAAGUCUGAAAUAUUCCUGCAUAUUAAAGGAUUAGUCUAGAGUCUAUAAAAAUGUUUUAUGCAUAAUUGGCAAAAGAGGAAUUUGGACUAUACAUUAUAAUAAGGUAUAUAAAGUUAUAUAGUGAUCAUCUAAGAUGUCUUUCUUAGGAGAUACCUACUGAAAUAUUUGGGGGUAAGGGAGCAUAAUAUGUAAAUUGCUUUCAAAUGGCUUAACAACAAAUAUACAUAUAUAUAUUAUACACAUAAAGUAAUAAAUAAAUACUACUGGUAUAUGUGUUAGUGUGGCAAAAUUUUAAUAACUAGAGAAUCUAGGUGAAAGAUAUUUGUGAGUUUACUGCAUUAUCCUUACAACUUUUCUGUAUGUUUUACUAUUUUUUUUCCCAAAUUCCAAUUUUAAAAUGUAUGUUCUGGUUAGAGAUACCUUGAGUCUACUUGUUGGUUAUUUAAAUUAUAUAAACCUCAUAUUUCUAAUAUGUAAAAUAAAGUAAUAUAGUACUAUUUUUGCUGUAUUGUGAGGAUUAGAGACACUACUAAUAAAUCUCUCAGUGUGAUAUCUGGAAUUGAGUAAUCUCUCAAAAAUAUUAGUUGUUAUUAAUGCCAUCUUGGUCUAUUUUAAUAGUAACCCAUUGAUUUCAAGUACUUAAAAUAAAAAUUGAAGUUUUUUAAAAUUUUAUAGUAACCAUCACACAUGCAUGCAUCAAAGUAUGGUUUACCGUUACUAGCUGAUCAGCUUGUUAUUACCCAGGACAGGUCAGGUGGUAUACAAAGUAUAUCAAGAUAGCUCUUUAAUUCCUUAAUCUGAGUCCCCAAUCAGUAUCUGGGUUUCCCAAUGAAAUACUAGAGAUUUAUAGUCUCAACAAAUAAAUGGCAGACAGCAGAGUUUCAAAUAACCCUUUUCUCAAGGAGCUGACAUCAUAUCAAACUAGAGAAAAAGGAAUAGAAACUCGAUACUUUGAUUAGUUAAUUUUUAGUUUAUUACAGAUUAUUCCAUGAUUUGCUGUGAAUUCUCUCAAUAUCCUAAUUACAGCCUUCACAGAAUCCAGAAUUAGUGUCCUAAGCACAAAUGAGAUACUCUGGACUGUAUUAAUGAAACAAGAAUAGCAAUUUACCAAAUAGUACAAAUAACAAGGAAAAAUUCUUGCACUUUAUACCAGUGAUGAAACUGAAUGCAUUUCCUCUUUCCAUUGGUGAUGAAGAAAAUACUUUUUCAGGAGACACUAUGCACAUUUCUAAGUAGUGAAAGAGUAGGACUCUGGGCAAAAAUCACUUUGUUUAGACAGGCAUGAAGUUAGAGCACAGAUUGACAUCUCUGGUUUUGUCCCUUAACUGGAAGAACUUAUAAUUUAAUGGAAAGGUAGACCAUAUUAAUAACCAUAAAUAAUAGCAGCAUUUUGAGCUAGUUUGAGGAAAGUAACUGUGAAAUUAGUCUAUACUAUAUAAGUGACUAUCUCUAAACCAUUUCCAAGAAGAUCAUGUCCUUUUUUUCCACUCAAAGUUAAAUUUCUGGCAUUAAAGACAUAUCAUAGUCUUCUUAUUAUCUUUUGUGGCAUUUAGUAGGGUGACUUACACUUAAGAGGCACUCAGUAAAUACAAUUUAAAUGAGCAAAAAACACAUAAUUUUGGAAAAUGUAACAAAGUAAGGUGAGACAUUUAUAGAAAUUUGAGAAAAGUUGUGCAGUGACAGAGGUUGACUGGGAAGACAAGUUCUGCCAAGGAGCCUGACCAAGUUCUGCUCCUCUAACUUUGAUUUCACUUAAUCUUUUUACUAUUUUCUCCAUUCAUGAAUGUGAAUCCAUCAUCUCAACAAAACGUACAAUAUGUACCUUGUCCCAUGCAUUUCUGAUUUAGGGAGAUCUGUUUUUACUCUCCAAUGAUAAUCCCACCAAGUGCAGUUCACAAAAAAAGACCUGCAUGACAAAACCAAUGGAAAAAUUGUACU